GGUUGCGAUCAUAUCGGCACUAAUGCACCGGAUCCCAUCAGAACUCCGCAGUUAAGCGUGCUUGGGCGAGAGUAGUACUAGGAUGGGUGACCCCCUGGGAAGUCCUCGUGUUGCAACCC
This 119-nucleotide ribosomal RNA is filed under the name Helianthus annuus (common sunflower). The record is from RNAcentral. Lineage: Eukaryota; Viridiplantae; Streptophyta; Magnoliopsida; Asterales; Asteraceae.